GGCACGAGGGAGCCUUCCGAUGGCCACCAGGCCUCUGGUCGAUCUGGGUGGGUUGGUUUCCCCUCCGUGAUAGAGAGAUCCAGAUUCGUGCCCCUGGCUGGGUGUGUUCGCUCCCUCUUGAUGGAAGCUGAAAGGGUCCUCUUCCUCCGCGUUCCUGCCGGGUAGACUGUCCGUCCGUGCCGACUGUCCGUCGUGCCUGUGCGAGGCGUGCCUUAGAUGGCUACAGCGUCCUCAAGUUUCAUCAGUUGGGGUAUAGUUUUUAUGUGGGGCACUCUGCAGCUGUGACGGUGUGGCACGGGCGGCGAGAAUGGACCUCUAUCUUUGUUCGAGGCUACUCAGCCUUUGCGUGGUCCUUUCGUGCAAGGCAAUUCUUCAUGCCCUACUGUAGGUCCUCCAGUCUUGCUUGCCUUACUAUGACUGUGCCGCUGAGGGCAUCCAAUCCAUCCCACUGACCGAGCUGUGGUGCCAACAUCGUCUCCACCGCUGCCCACACAUCAUGUGCAGGUGGACGUCGUGGAUAAGCUGCUUCGUCAACAGCGAGCUCAUUCGGCCAUUCGGUCUCACCGAUAUAUCCCUUAAAUACACAGGUCAGUUCUUCUCCGUCUGGUCUCCUGCGUCGGGUGACUGUGUUGGCUGUCCUUGCUGACCUCAAUCAUUACCUUCUCUCGGUUAAAUUUUUAUAAGGUAAUGCAAAGAGUUUUUUUAUUUUUUCAUAACAAAUUUGGAGAACUGAGAUUUGCUCCGAUGGUUUUAGCCAUGCAGACUGUCCCCAAUUUCGAAAUCGGUGUUAUCUCUGACUUGGAGGUUUAUAUUAUUUUCAGAUGGAUCCUCUGAUUACAUAUAUUAUGAGGUGAUGCCUGCAGUAGCUCAACGGUGAACGGUGUGCAUAUAAUCGAGUACUGAUAUCUGCCCCAACCAUAUGUGGUUUGUUAGUAUAAUUAAAUUUCAAUUGACCAUCGUGCUUACCUAUUAAUAUUCUGAGAAGCUUUGGAUGCCGCUGUGUUUUGAUGUUUCUUUAGUAUAUGUAGUUCGUAGUGUGUAGUUUCAGUUUAUGUAAAAGGCAUGACUAAGGUAGUCUGUGCUU
Long non-coding RNA from Lolium rigidum, 1084 nucleotides. RefSeq lists it as uncharacterized. The record is from RefSeq and is a predicted model, not a curated record. The transcript is spliced from 4 exons. Lineage: Eukaryota; Viridiplantae; Streptophyta; Magnoliopsida; Poales; Poaceae.